This 251-nucleotide unclassified non-coding RNA is filed under the name Hevea brasiliensis (rubber tree). Lineage: Eukaryota; Viridiplantae; Streptophyta; Magnoliopsida; Malpighiales; Euphorbiaceae. The record is from RNAcentral.
AAAAAAGAUAAAGUCAAUUGAUAAAAAAUGGAACAAAAAGAAGAAUAAUAAUAAAAAUAAAAGAGAUGGAAAAAAGGUGUGAUUCUUGUGAAUGUGAGAAUGAGAAAGAAACGAAAAAUAGCAUCGGAAAGAACAAUUAAGUCUUCUUGAAACAUAAUAUUUAUUACAAUUUUUUUUACUAUUUCAGUUGACUUAAAAUUCCACACAAAUAUAAGAUAUCUUUUUAAUUUGCGUGUAUAUAUAUAUAUAUA